Molecule: non-coding RNA, 3425 nt
Organism: Megalopta genalis
Lineage: Eukaryota; Metazoa; Arthropoda; Insecta; Hymenoptera; Halictidae
Source: RefSeq, a predicted model, not a curated record
GAACCCUUGUUUUUUCUGUCACUAUAUACGCACACAAACACUAUGUACGCACUAUACACACGUCGUGUCUAGUAGGAUACAUGUUAUACACACUUUGUAACGUUCCAUAUAAAUUUGUAGUAAAUAGUGACAUAUUUUUCCCUUAAUAUUAAUAUGUGAUACUAAUUUGACAUUAUUGUAUUGAAAAUUUAUAGAUUUUUUGUAUUUCCAAGUCAAAUGUAAGCAAGUUUGAUACUGUUGACGUGAAUUUAUGAUAUAACUUUUGUGUGUUUAUUAACUGAUAGAUGUUGUGUGAUGCAGUGGCCCUAUUAAUAUAUACGUGUCUUAUGAAGAUACGGGUCGUUAUCUAAUAAGGAAGCGUAUUUUACCAGAAGCAAUGUCUCAGGAAUCGCAAGAAAUGAAGAAAGCAAUAUUGAAAACUAGGUCCGUUACCAACGAACAAUCAAAAGCUGAGAAUAGCCCUCGGUUAAGAACUAGAAGACUAAUAACAGAAUCUAAAACUCCAGCAGCAAAGAAACAGUCUGAUCUUGAGAAAGAACCAGAUAGUAAUGAUCGCAAGGAAAUUCGUACGGUUACUAGGAGUAAAAAGUUAAAGAGAAAUAAUGAAGAGCAAAUACCUAAACUAGUGAAAAAUAGUAAAGUAAGGAGAAAUAAACAACUGAAUAAUACCAAACAAAAUAAAAGGAUAAAGAAAAAUAAUCUUGGUUCGAGGCAAACAUCAUUAAGAGAAUCUUUCUUGAAUCAAUCAAUGAAAUUGUCACAUGUUUGUCAAAAGUUUACGACACCUCAAGAGGAUGUUAUGUUAGUGGCAGAACAUCUUUCACCUAGAAGUCGUAAGAGUCUGGUAUUAGUAAAGAAACUGUGUGCAAAAAAAAGAAAAGUACCAAUCUACAAAUGUCUUUCACCUGAGCGAUCUGUACAUAAUGCAAGCGAAAUUUACGAGUUCAAAUUCGAUAUUAAUGAUUCUAAGGAACAGUUACCGAAGAAAAAGAGAAAAAAAAUUGCUGUUAAAAAGACUCUGAUAACCAAGAAGAAGAAGAAGGAAGUUAGAUCUAAGAAACAAGAUGAACAGAAAGUCGUAAAUAAAACAGCAACACCAAAUAAUGUUCCACUUGAAGAAGGUGACAUUAAAUUUAGCAAUACAGCAACUAAAGAAAGUGACGCGCGCGCGCGCGUUAGGUUCACCGAUGUUGCAUUAAAAGGGAAUAAUAUUGAAUCCAUUAAUGUUGCUUCUCAGAGUAGUAAUGUUAAACCUACUGUAAUUGCGAUUGAAGAAAAUAAUGAUAGAUUUGCUGACAUUUUACCGAAAGGAAGUGGGAAAAUAAGAGAGAGUAUCGAUGAGGUUUUACAUACUGGUAAUUCUGUGAAAUCCACGAAUGAAAAUGCAUUGCCAGAAAUUGCAGAGAAGAGUUCGCUAAUGAAUUUAGGAUUAAAUAAAGAAUCAUUGGUGCAAUCAGAAAAUGCAAGCAAAGAAUUGUUUGCAGAAAGUACAAUUAAAAAACCAAAAAUUUCAAUACCGUCAACACAAGACACGAACAAUGAGAAGAUCGCUAUAGUAGACAACAUGCAAAUAUCUAAAUCGGAUAAUUUUAAGCCGUUUAGGCCUACAAACGUUUUCAACAAUAAGAUACUGAUUCAACAGAGAACUAUACUUAAUAAUUCAUUGUUUGAAAAAUCAUUAUCACCGAUUACUAAAUUAUCUGAAAAUAUUGAAUUUAGCAGCCCUUGGAAAGCACCUGCAGCAAAUACGUUUUCCCAAGUAAGAAAUGUAUUUCAAAGUACACCGCAAAAUAAAAAAUAUGAAGUAUCUAGCAAAAAAUUUUUGCGAACAAUAACAAACGAAACUAAGAGUUAUGAAAAUACUACAAAAAGAAAAGGCAGUUUAUUAAAGAACGACGAAAAUGUAAGUCCAGGGUAUAUAAAUACUAAUUCGAAAAAGAGAAAUUCUGCAAUGUCAAGAAAGUUUGGUACAGAAAUAACAAACAUAGAUCAUUGUGUACAGUCUAAUAUCGAGGAAGACAUAAGUGGACGAGCGUCAGUUGAGGUAGAGAGUACGCAACCGAGUGUUGAAUUAAGUAGUAGGAUUAAUUCUAGUGUAAAUAAUUUGUCUCUGCUCAAUAGUAUCGAAAGUAAUGUCAAUGAAGUGAGCAAUCGUCAUGUGUCUAAAAAAAAUGUUAUAGAAACAAAUCAAAUUUGCAGCCCACCGAAGAUGAUCGAAAACAUGCAAGUGUGUGAUCUAAAAGAAAAUUUGGAUCCUCAACCUGGCCCGUCUGGCUUGCAAAAGAUCAGAAUUCUCAAUGAGCAAAAAAGCCUAUUGCGACAAUCGAACUUAAACAAUUUUUUCAAUAUUAUGGAUAUGCCACAAAGUACAUCGGUCAGAACUCCUCAUGGAAUUUUCGAUGAUAUAUCAUCAACCCCGAUUAAUAGUAAAUCAAUGAGAAAGCCUAAAAUAUUUAGCUCAGAUUUGAAGAAUGCGUUUGGUUUUUACGAUGAUGAUUCUAGUAAGGACGUGUCUCUCGUUAAACAGAGCAGUAUAAGCGAUGAAAACAAAAAGGAAAUACCUGUUGCAAUGUGUUCAGAAAAAAGCAAUGAAAAACCAUUUACAAGAAUAUCAAUCGGUGAAAUAAAAAAUACACUUUUUACUAAAAAGCUAAAAAAGAAUAUUCAAACGUUGAAAGAUCCGAAAAAUGAGGGCGCGGCAAAAGGAAAAGUGCCUACUGUACCAAAACAACACGUACUCUUUGAUAUCGCAAACUUUUCUGAUACGUUUGAUAUUUGUUCUGAAAACAGCAAAACUCCGGCAAUGGAUACAUCUGAACCACCAUUGUUCGUCGACCUGGAGCCAUCCCAUUUCAUACAGCCUGCGAGAUACUCCUACAAACGGAAACGAAACGUUAAGUCCAGUUUUUCCGAUGAAGAGACCGAAACAGAAGGAGGAAAAGACGUAGUAAAAAGUAAAACAAAGCGCAAAAAGACAGACAAAGUCAAGACAGAAGAAAAACAUAAAAUGAGAAAAUGGAUCGAGGACAUUAAUAAAACUUUCGAUGAAAUAGACCAUUUUGAACUCGUAGUGGAAUAACAAAUCUACUACCGAUAUUCUUAAGGAGAAAGUCAGGUUUACCGGGUUUGAUCGAGCAUAACUUGUCAGAACGAAGAUUUAUAGAAUAGACAAGAUAUGGUAAACAUAAUAAACUCUGCGCAGAUCGAGGAUCGAAGUCGAAGAAGUAAUUGUUGUGCGAGAACGACUUCUCCCAUAGAGCAGCGCAUGCAUAUACAUACAUCUCGGGUGCCAGCAUGCAGAGACGAGUCGCCGUGGUCUCUGAGCCACUCUGAUUGCACUCUGAUGGAGUAUGGACUAGUAUGGAGUGUGAAGAAUUGACAGCAAUGGACAGCAAUGGUAAGCAAUGGUAAGCAAUGGUAAGCAA